RNAcentral lists this ribosomal RNA (254 nucleotides) under uncultured bacterium. Its description in RNAcentral is "partial 16S ribosomal RNA". It matches the Rfam family "Bacterial small subunit ribosomal RNA", at positions 524 to 776 of the family's 1533-position model. The record is from RNAcentral.
UACGGGGGGAGCAAGCGUUGUUCGGAUUUACUGGGCGUAAAGGGCGCGUAGGCGGCCACGCCAAGUCACUUGUGAAAUCUCCGGGCUUAACUCGGAAAGGUCAAGUGAUACUGUCGGGCUUGAGUACGGAAGAGGCGAGUGGAAUUCCUGGUGUAGCGGUGAAAUGUGCAGAUAUCAGGAGGAACACCAAUUGCGAAGGCAGCUCGCUGGGACGUUACUGACGCUGAGACGCGAAAGCGUGGGGAGCAAACAGG